Molecule: ribosomal RNA, 507 nt
Filed under: Salmonella enterica
Lineage: Bacteria; Pseudomonadati; Pseudomonadota; Gammaproteobacteria; Enterobacterales; Enterobacteriaceae
Also listed under: 1 other name
Description: bacterial SSU rRNA
Rfam family: Bacterial small subunit ribosomal RNA
Source: RNAcentral
GGAUUUGUGCCUUCGGGAACCGUGAGACAGGUGCUGCAUGGCUGUCGUCAGCUCGUGUUGUGAAAUGUUGGGUUAAGUCCCGCAACGAGCGCAACCCUUAUCCUUUGUUGCCAGCGAUUAGGUCGGGAACUCAAAGGAGACUGCCAGUGAUAAACUGGAGGAAGGUGGGGAUGACGUCAAGUCAUCAUGGCCCUUACGACCAGGGCUACACACGUGCUACAAUGGCGCAUACAAAGAGAAGCGACCUCGCGAGAGCAAGCGGACCUCAUAAAGUGCGUCGUAGUCCGGAUUGGAGUCUGCAACUCGACUCCAUGAAGUCGGAAUCGCUAGUAAUCGUGGAUCAGAAUGCCACGGUGAAUACGUUCCCGGGCCUUGUACACACCGCCCGUCACACCAUGGGAGUGGGUUGCAAAAGAAGUAGGUAGCUUAACCUUCGGGAGGGCGCUUACCACUUUGUGAUUCAUGACUGGGGUGAAGUCGUAACAAGGUAACCGUAGGGGAACCUGC